Molecule: long non-coding RNA, 1118 nt
Filed under: Medicago truncatula (barrel medic)
Lineage: Eukaryota; Viridiplantae; Streptophyta; Magnoliopsida; Fabales; Fabaceae
Description: long non-coding RNA (MTRU_LNC004076)
Source: RNAcentral
AACCCUUAAAGCAUGCGGGCGGCCCUAGCAUACAGAAAAGAAAGAAGUAGUCCUAUUCGAAAACUAAAUUUCAGUCCUAGUAGGUGUGAUAUUGAAGGCCUUCACCGGCUUCCUUAGUGCUUGUGCUAAGGAGUUCAGGGCUAAGGGCUGGCACGUAGGAAGCAUUGGCUAUCAGGAACCCCUAGAGGGAACUAACUCCUUUCUUGCAAAGCUGCUUCAUGAGAAAAAAGUUGUCUUUGUAUUGGAUCCGCUCUUCUGUUAGCAUAAACAUGAAUUAGAUUCUAUUCGUCUUAUUUAUUCUUAAGAGAACCCCCCACCCGAACCAUUCUUAAGACCACCAAGCUCUCUCGAAUGAGUUCUAUUUUUUCUGCUUUCGAGAUACACUAGGGGAUAAAUCUCCUCCUAACUAAUAAAUGAAACUUUGUGCCUAGAUCGUAGUCCUGAAGACGGAUGUGACGAGAAGAAGUGGCAUUUGAAAGUGUUGCUGAAUUAACAUUUAGGUUUCGGCAUAACAAAGCUUGCACUGUCUUUUUGCACUUACGCGCAAAGCGUGCCAUUGGUAAUGAUUCUACUACGGUGCCACAAAUUCGCAAACUGACCCUAAAUAAUCGUUGUUGUUCAUUAGAUUUCGGAGGAACUAAUUCGUUAGGAUAGGGGAAUUGCUGCAAUUCUUCCUAAAUAGCCUGGAUUCUCCCGUCGAGAGUGACUUUGAAAGUAUUUCCUAAACUCUUCCGACUGAAUAUGAUGAAGCAUAUAAAACAACGAGCUACUAUCAUUUCUUCAUUAUAGAUUGAUAUCUUAUUCGAACUUAAUGCACAAAUAGAUGGAAUAGCAGCAAAUAGCAUCUUUCUAGCUUGCAUAUUCGUGGAACUCAAUCUCAUUUAGAAAGGCUCUAUCUAUCUUUCAACAACUAAACGGGAAGUGGUUUAGGAAAGGACUUUAGAAUCAAUCGGAUGCGCUCGCCCAGCGAGAAAGGCCCCAACCCUGCCAACCAAUUAAAAAUAGAAAAUAAAGAAGAGAACGAAAGGAGAAAAGAUAACUUCGUAUUUUGGUAAUUCUCUAGGAGUCAUGUUUAACCUUGAAUACUAUUAAUAAAUUCUACAGCAAUAGUCCCUNNN